Molecule: ribosomal RNA, 466 nt
Filed under: uncultured bacterium
Lineage: Bacteria
Description: partial 16S ribosomal RNA
Rfam family: Bacterial small subunit ribosomal RNA
Source: RNAcentral
GAUGAACGCUGGCGGCGUGCUUAACACAUGCAAGUCGAACGGAAAGGCUCCUGCUUGCAGGGGUACUCGAGUGGCGAACGGGUGAGUAACACGUGGGUGAUCUGCCCUGCACUUCGGGAUAAGCCUGGGAAACUGGGUCUAAUACCGGAUAGGACGAUGGUUUGGAUGCCAUUGUGGAAAGUUUUUUCGGUGUGGGAUGAGCUCGCGGCCUAUCAGCUUGUUGGUGGGGUAAUGGCCUACCAAGGCGUCGACGGGUAGCCGGCCUGAGAGGGUGUACGGCCACAUUGGGACUGGGAUACGGCCCAGACUCCUACGGGAGGCAGCAGUGGGAAAUAUUGAACAAUGGGCGAAAGCCGGAUGCAGCGACGCCGGGUGGGGGAUGACGGCCUUCGGGUUGUAAACUCCUUUCGCUAGGGACGAAGCGCAAGUGACGGUACCUGGAGAAGAAGCACCGGCUAACUACGUG